GGUGGCUCAGUGGUAGAGUGUUUGCCUUGCACGCAAAGGCCCUGGGUUCAAUUCCUCAGCACCA
RNAcentral lists this transfer RNA (64 nucleotides) under Dipodomys ordii (Ord's kangaroo rat). It matches the Rfam family "tRNA". Rfam says of the family: Transfer RNA (tRNA) molecules are approximately 80 nucleotides in length. Their secondary structure includes four short double-helical elements and three loops (D, anti-codon, and T loops). Further hydrogen bonds mediate the characteristic L-shaped molecular structure. tRNAs have two regions of fundamental functional importance: the anti-codon, which is responsible for specific mRNA codon recognition, and the 3' end, to which the tRNAs corresponding amino acid is attached (by aminoacyl-tRNA synthetases). tRNAs cope with the degeneracy of the genetic code in two manners: having more than one tRNA (with a specific anti-codon) for a particular amino acid; and 'wobble' base-pairing, i.e. permitting non-standard base-pairing at the 3rd anti-codon position. The record is from Rfam by way of RNAcentral. Lineage: Eukaryota; Metazoa; Chordata; Mammalia; Rodentia; Heteromyidae.